GACGAACGCUGGCGGCGUGCUUAAUACAUGCAAGUCGAACGGACAGACCCUGCUUUUGUGGGGUGCUCGAGUGGCGAACGGGUGAGUAAAACGUGAGUAACCUGCCCUUGACUUUGGGAGAACUUCAGGAAACUGGGGCUAAUACAGGAUAGGAGCUCCUGCUCCAUGGGGGGGGUUGGAAAGAGUCGGCGGUUGGGGAUGGACUCGCGGCUUAUCAGCUUGUUUGGGGGGUAGGUGCUUACCAAGGCUGUGAAGGGUAGCCGGCCUGAGAGGGUGGACAGGCACAAUGGGACUGAGAGACGGACCAGACGGCUACGGGAGGCAGCAGUGGGGAAUCUGGCACAAUGGCGGGAAGCCUGAUGUAGCGACGUUGCGUGCGGAAAGCUCUCUUUCGGGGUAUAAACCGCUGUCGCCGGAAACGAAGCGGUAUUGACGGUACCGGGUAAAGAAGCACCGGCUAACUACGUG
Molecule: ribosomal RNA, 468 nt
Filed under: uncultured bacterium
Lineage: Bacteria
Description: partial 16S ribosomal RNA
Rfam family: Bacterial small subunit ribosomal RNA
Source: RNAcentral